GGCCCCGGCCCCGGCCCCGGCCCCGGCCCCGGCCCCGGGUGGCUUGGCCGCUCCGCGGGGAGCACCCGGCGCGGCCUCCCGAAGGAGAGGUGGGAACCUCAGGCUUUGAGCAGGGGGAGCAGGGGGACCGUGCCUCUGCCGGCAGCAGGGCGCCGGACGGCGAGGGGGGUUUGGGGAAGGCUCUUCGUCGCCUGUCCCUUUUCCUUCCCGGAAGCUGGAGCCUCCAGCUCCCCCAUUUUCCCCUUCUGCCGUGCGCACGCCAGCCUUGCUGGGUAUUUUUAGCUGGCGCCGCUGUGAUUAGCAUUCAGGGGAGCAAGCAAGGGAGAGAAAGCCGUUUUCCAAGCCGUUUUCUCUUCCCUUUCGAACAGGGCCAAUGCACCUGUUGGUGGCGGGAGGUGUGUGUGGGGUGUGAUCUGGUGUUUAGCCUUCUCCAGGGAUGCGAUCUUGCUCCCUCUGUUCCUUUAGGUAGGCCCUGUCGGCACCUCCCAGAGCAGGGCCAGCACCCUGCGGCACGGGACUCCGCUGCAGGAGCCGCUCCUCCCUGAGAGAGGCUUCUGGGCCUUGCGUGGGGCAGUGGCCUCGCAAGGGCCCUUGGAGCAGGUGGCUGGGCAUGCCACCCGGAGUCAUCUUCAGCUCUUGCCCUUCCCAGGCUGUACCUGGCUCCUGAGGAUUGGGGCACGCAGGUCUGCUGAUCUGUGGCCAUGUGAAGAUUUUGCUGUAGGAUCUGGGACUUUGGCUCUGCUUGUGCCAGGUCUGCCUGCUGAAAAAAGAGUAUCCAUGUUCAACAAAAGAUGACAGAAUUGCAAGCCACUUGGCCACAUUAGUCUGUCGCCUAAAUCAGUCACUGCAAGCAAGUUGGUCUGUCAGCCUCAGUGAAUAGCAAAGUCAGAACCUGAUGGGACUGUACUACAGCUGCUGACUAUAAAGUAUGGAGAGCGUGAGGGGAGAAUGAAGAUGCGUUAGUCCUACAGAAAGCGUGCAGUUGCAGUGAAUAAUGAGUGAUGUCUCUGCAAGUAGCCCUGCAGUCCUUUAUGAGAGCCUCUCUUUGUACAUCAUGUGCUCUGACUCCUGACCAUCCUGGUGGCCUCCAGCGGACUUGCUCCAGUCUGUCAAUGUCUGUUUUGUACUGGGGAGACCAGAACUAGACACAGGACUCCAGAUGCAGUUUUGCAAGUGCCAAAUAGAGGGGAAGGAUCACUCUACUGGACGUGCCAGCUACGCAUGUACCAAUACAACCCUGGAUGCAGUUGGCCCUCUUUGCUGCAAGGACACACUGCUGAUUCAUGUUUGACUUGCUGUCCACGAGGACCUUGAGAUCUUUUUCUGCAGAACUGCUUCUCUGACAGUCAGCUCCAGCCUGUAUUGUUGCAUGGGGUUAUUCUAUCCCAGAAGCAAGACUGAAUUUUCUCCUGUUGCACUUCACCAGGUUCCUGUAGCCCGUUUCUCCAGGUCCCUCUGAAGAGUAGCCUUUCCCUCCAGUGAAUUGACCACUCCUCCCAAUUUGGUGUCAUCCACAAACCUGCUGAGAGAAGACACCAUCUUAUCAUCCUGGUCAUUGAUGAAGACAUUAAACCAUCUUUGUGCCAGUCUUGAUCCCUGAGGGGUGCCACUGGUUACCGGUCACCAGCUGUCCAACCAGUUUCAACCCACUGCAUUGUCCACUUAUUCAGUCCAUAUCUCACCAGUUUGGUGGUAAGGAGAUGUGGAGGUUUAAGCCCAGCCGGCAAUAAAGCACCACGAGGCUGCUCACUCACUCCUCCCCAGCCCCUCCAGUGGGAUGGGGAGGAGAAUCAGAAAGGAGAAAGAAGGAAAAAAAAAUAGAACCUUGUGGGUUGAGAUAAGGACAGUUUACUGGGACAACACAAGGAGAGAAGUUACAACAACAGUACUAAUAAAAGAAUAUACAAAAUGAGUGAUGCACAGUGCAACUGCUCACCACCCAGAACCUGAUGCUCUGCCACUCCCCCCACAGAGAGAACACCCCCCCGCCUGCUCCCCAGU
This is a long non-coding RNA of Aquila chrysaetos chrysaetos, 2001 nucleotides long. RefSeq lists it as uncharacterized. Lineage: Eukaryota; Metazoa; Chordata; Aves; Accipitriformes; Accipitridae. The record is from RefSeq and is a predicted model, not a curated record. The transcript has 5 exons.